AACUGGACUAUCUAUACUAACAAGGUCUGCUUUCUAAUAUUUGGUUUCCCUUGCAUACAUUUAAAACUUUUGUAUACACACAUUAUGUUUUACUAUUUUUUGAUAAGAUGUCAUAGAUGCUUGAACUGGGAGACAAGCAAACAAGAUAAACAGUGCGUGAUGAUAUUUAUUUUUCCUUCUUAAAUAUGUAUAUGGCCCAUAACUUUGUCAUGCUCUAUGCUUUAGGUUUUCAUCUCUGAUUAAUUGUUUCAUAUGGUACUAAAUACCGGUAAACUAAGACCCCCAGGUCAAGACUAUUUUCUGAAAUUGAUAAGUAGUGUAGUUCAGUUGGGCUUCAGUUGUUGGAAGCUGGAGCUAGGUUUCAGAAGUAGUCACUUACAUUAGCAUAAAGAUUUUGUUAUAGCUGUGAGCCAAUGAAUGAUAAAAUAAUUGGUGAGGCAUUAAAAAUGAUGUAUAAUCUCUCUUUUUCUUGCCUCUUGUAGAUUGCAGCUCUAUUUACUCUUG
RNAcentral lists this unclassified non-coding RNA (504 nucleotides) under Hevea brasiliensis (rubber tree). Lineage: Eukaryota; Viridiplantae; Streptophyta; Magnoliopsida; Malpighiales; Euphorbiaceae. The record is from RNAcentral.